UGGGAGUAUAGUUUAACAGGAAAAACAUAUGUUUUGCAUACAUAAAAUUAUCAGUUCGAGUCUGGUUAUUUCCAG
This 75-nucleotide transfer RNA is filed under the name Lithothamnion sp. RNAcentral's name for it is "tRNA-Ala". It matches the Rfam family "tRNA". From Rfam's summary of the family: Transfer RNA (tRNA) molecules are approximately 80 nucleotides in length. Their secondary structure includes four short double-helical elements and three loops (D, anti-codon, and T loops). Lineage: Eukaryota; Rhodophyta; Florideophyceae; Hapalidiales; Hapalidiaceae. The record is from RNAcentral.